ACUGAAUAGAUACCCCGGUAGUCCACGCCGUAAACGAUGAGUACUGGGUGUAGGUGGGGUUAGAGCCAUCUGUGCCCAAAGCAAAAACGCGUUAAGUACUCCGCCUGGGGAGUGCGGCCGCAAGGCUAAAAACUCAAAGGAAUUGACGGGGGCCCGGCACAAGCAGCGGAGCGUGUGGUUUAAAUUCGAUGCAACACGAAGAACCUUACCCAGGUUUGACAUGCACGUAGUAGUGAAGCGAAAGCGGAACGACCCUUCGGGGAGCGUGCACAGGUGCUGCAUGGCUGUCGUCAGNUCGUGUCGUGAGAUGUUGGGUUAAAGUCCCGCAACGAGCGCAACCCCUCGUUGUCUAGUUACUACGUGUCUAGCGAGACUGCCGGUAUCAAGCUGGAGGAAGGUGGGGAUGACGUCAAGUCAGCAUGGCCUUUAUAUCUGGGGUC
RNAcentral lists this ribosomal RNA (440 nucleotides) under uncultured bacterium. RNAcentral describes it as "bacterial SSU rRNA". It matches the Rfam family "Bacterial small subunit ribosomal RNA", at positions 772 to 1215 of the family's 1533-position model. The record is from RNAcentral.